CAAUUAGAAACCUUCAACAGACCUUCCCUAGAGCAAGUGGCAAAGAGCUUGGUGGUUGGUACCCGAAACCUAAGUUCGAAUCCUAGUUGAUUCACAUUUCUAGUUAAGUUUAUUUUUAAAUGAAAUAAACGAAGCGGGUAGCGUGCUACCUAUCUCUCAAGAAAAAAAAAAUAAAAAAAAAACCUUCAACUUAUGUGUAUCCGCACAUCAAAUACUGAAAAGAACAGA
RNAcentral lists this long non-coding RNA (228 nucleotides) under Ananas comosus (pineapple). RNAcentral's name for it is "long non-coding RNA (ACOM_LNC036650)". Lineage: Eukaryota; Viridiplantae; Streptophyta; Magnoliopsida; Poales; Bromeliaceae. The record is from RNAcentral.